Siniperca chuatsi (mandarin fish) is the source of this 7560-nucleotide RNA transcript. It is a transcript of the gene named SRY-box transcription factor 1a, with no coding region annotated. The record is from RefSeq and is a predicted model, not a curated record. The transcript has 3 exons. Lineage: Eukaryota; Metazoa; Chordata; Actinopteri; Centrarchiformes; Sinipercidae.
GAGAGUAAACAGGGGCCACCGGGGUCCCAGUGUCACUGUAAAGGCUAAUCCUCUACAAUCCUUAAUCCACUCAACAAUGAGAAGAACAAAUAAUAAUAAUAAUUUCAUGAUUGUUCCCGAUCGAUCCUUAAAAUUAAUUAAUUAAAAUGUAAUUAAUCUGCUUCAUCAGAUUGUUUGACUUUAACGAUACUAAUGUGGAUGCAGUUUGUGACGUCUGGUUGAAUUAAUUUAGACCUUUUAUUAAGGAAGGGGUCAAUGCUUAAAAAAAAUUAAAGUCAAGGUGUAUUUUGUUAAAUCAUGAAAUAACAAACAUGCCAAAAUCCAAUUUAUAUUGACUUAUUGAAGUUAUAUGCCUGGUUUGGUCAAAAAUAUGAAUCCUUACUGCUUAAAAAUGUAGGCAGAAUUUAACAUGUCAUGUGAUGAUUAGUAGUAUUAAUAUUGAGCCAUUUUAACAUAUUAGUGUUAUUUCCAUUUCUUUAUUACAAGACACCAGUGCACCAUCAGUGUUGUAUUGUUUCUUUUUUGUUUGUUUAAUUGUUUUCUGGUGUGAUAGCUUCACUGGCACUCACCGCCCCACAGCUCUCCGGGUGUCAUCAUUAUAUUAUCAUCUUCCUCGGGCCUUAAGCCACAUGGCCUGGACCACUGGAAACGUUUAUUGACCAUUGUGAUAUCCCGUUAACCCCAUCACCAAAGACGCAUGGCUCCGUCCGAGUGAUCCCGCUCCCUCAGGCCCUAAACAGAGAGCUCUAUCAAGCUAAGCUCCAAUUAAAAUAAAAACAGCAAAGAACGAUAGAAUGAUUAAAUCGUUAGUCUCACCGCGGGAAGUGGUAUUUCGUUUCCCCGUUCAAUUAGAGGUUGAUUGGGCUUUUCAGGGGAGGUCAGCUGUGAAAUCUGGAUUAUAUAUGCGCGGACUCGAAGACACAUAGACCGUUUCCCUCUCGUGGUUUACGAACGAGUUACUUGACUGGAUGUUAAAUAAGGUGCAUAAGAUUGAUCAGCCACAACAAAAAGUCCACUAAAAAUGACAACAUCAGAGCAGUUUACAUGUGGCCUUUCUUUUCAUCUUCCGCUGCACACACAGACAUGACCAUUCACCAUCACCAGCAGACGGCGAUACCGGCGCUUUGCCCCGGCAAUUUCACUGUCAUUAUAUGGCUAUCCAUCCUCAGGGGCUUCUCCUCUUAGACUAACAGUUUAUUUUUUACCAAAUCUCUUUUAUAGCAUCUUGAUUGUGUGUAAUUUCUCCAUCUCUGACACCUACUAUUAUUACAUAGGCCUACCUUAAUUACAUACCUGGAGGGGGGAGAGAGAGAGAGAGAGAGAGAGAGAGAUGGUCUGAAAAAUGGAUUUUGCGGCGCUGGUUGAGCAUCAAGUCGUCUGAAAUUGAAUUGGUUUAGGUAGACUGUAGUGUAAUUCCAGUGCAUAAAAAUACAGUUGGGCCCAGGCUUCUAGGACGCACAGAGACAGAGAGAAUAACCUGUUAAAGAUAGGAGGAAAUGUUCUGACUUUCACGCACAAAUAUAGAGAGAAAGUGGAGGGUAAAAAAAUGAUUUUGCCCAAAUUGAAGCCUGCGAAUUUAAAAGCUGCUUGAUAUGGAAGCUGUUUUUUAAAGUGUUGUUUUUUUUUAUUCAGCAACCACAACUAUUUUUUUUUAAAUAUGUUGAGAUGUUUGACUGAUCGUAAUCACAGACUGCACCCACCUUUUGGCCGCUACAUCACUGCUAACAAAUCUCAGUUAUUUUUGUUUAGCUGAAGUCUCUGAGAGCGUGUUUGGAAAUUUCAAAUGCCUUGUGCUAUUUGUGGGAUUGACCCUCCUUUCUGCCUCCUCCUUCUCCUCCUCCUCCUCCGGUGUGUUCUUCCUCUAUGGUCCUCUAGUCACCUGACCAAACGCCAUGCAAAUCAUUCUGCUGCUAGAGCCUCAUUGGCCGCUUGUGGCUCAUUUAACCGCUGUCAGUGCGCAUCAUAUGGCCGCCGCUUUAACCAACUUCUCAACUCCGACAGGGAAAGUGGCUCAAAUGCGCAUUCUAUCACAGUGGAUGUGAACCAACCCAGGCGAAGACAGGGUGAAAUACUGGUUGGAAAACAUUUUAUAUCCCUUUCGGAUUAAUUUUUAUCUCGUAUUUGUUUCAUUUGGGGUUAGAAUAUUAAUUUUGUAACCCAGUCAUCCUGUGUGCACCCGAUCUUGUGCGCGCCUGACCUAUCUUGAAAAAGACUUUUUCUCUGUUGGUGGCGAAGUUUAAAACCAGGUGAAUGUAUAGCAUGAUGAUGGAAACUGACCUUCAUUCCCCCGGCCCCCAAACGAAUACGACCACGGGGCAAACGGGGCCGAACGGCGGGUCCAAAGCGAAUCAGGAACGGGUGAAGAGACCGAUGAACGCGUUCAUGGUGUGGUCCCGCGGGCAGCGGAGAAAGAUGGCACAGGAGAACCCCAAAAUGCACAACUCUGAGAUCAGCAAACGGCUGGGUGCCGAGUGGAAGGUGAUGUCCGAGGCUGAGAAGCGCCCUUUCAUCGACGAGGCAAAACGGUUGCGAGCCAUGCACAUGAAGGAGCAUCCGGAUUACAAGUACCGGCCAAGACGGAAGACCAAGACGCUGCUGAAAAAGGACAAAUAUUCUCUUGCCGGUGGACUGCUUUCUGGGCCCAGUGGGGGCGGUGGAGUUGGUUUAGGGGUCGGAAUGAGUUCAUCCGGGGUCGGGCAGAGGUUAGAGAGCCCCGGGGGUCACGGAGGCUCCGCAAGCUCCGGCUACGCGCACAUGAACGGCUGGGCGAACGGUGCGUACUCGGGGCAGGUGGCUGCAGCCGCGGCGGCGGCAGCGAUGAUGCAGGAGGCUCAGCUAGCCUACAGCCAGCACCCGGGGAGCGGAGCGCACCACCACCACCACUCACACCACCAUCACUCACACAAUCCCCAGCCCAUGCACCGCUACGACAUGACAGCCCUGCAGUACAGUCCCAUCUCGAACUCUCAGAGCUACAUGAACGCUUCUCCAUCCGGCUACGGCGGGAUCACCUACACACAGCACCAGGGCUCCGGCGUCUCCUCCUCAGCUGCCAUGGGGACGUUAGGGUCGCUGGUGAAGUCGGAGCCGAGUGUAAGCCCUCCCGUCAGCAGCACACACUCACGGGGUCCUUGCCCCGGAGACUUGAGAGAGAUGAUAAGCAUGUAUUUACCGACCGGAGAGCCGGGGGACCCGUCAAUGCAAAGUAGACUCCAUGCCUUGCCGCAGCAUUACCAGAGCGCCACGGCUGGAGUGAACGGGACGGUCCCUCUAACACACAUUUAGAACUCACAUAAUAAUUGAAAACUGCAAACGAACACAUAACCAAAUAUUUACCUCUUUUCUAAAUAACCCCGGUCCCGAGAACUACCUGCAUUUUGUACAGAAUGUUUAUGAUAUUGUAAAUGAAGGGUAAAUAGCAUAUUCAUCUCGGCUUUUUUGAAUAGCUACCAGUGGAAUUAUAUAACGAAUAUGAUGCUGAGAUAUUGGUUAUUGUGCUAUCAUCUUUUUGUCCAUUACUUCACAGUCUUAGUUGAGGGUUACGCCAGGUUCACAUGUGGGUAUUUGGUUCAAUUGUCUCAUAAUUUUGGGGAGUUCUUGUAAGUUAUUGAACAUGAGAUAACGUGUCAUAAUCUUAAGAAAGUGCUUUAAAAGAUAUGGGAAACUCACAUUCUUUACAACAUUUGUGUUCAUUUGCAGAAGCCUGUGUCUUAAUUCUUGGAGAUCAUCUCUUUUUAUUGUAACACUCUAAUUAUUGUAAAUUGUGAAUAAUUUUAAUAUUUCAAAGGAUGACGGGCAACUGCUGUUGUAAUUUAAGUGCUUUUCUGCAAGUGAAAGGCUCUGAUAUUGCAAUGAAGAAUUGAAUAAAUUUCACAAGAUGUUGCAUUGAUUCUUAAGACAACAGUCUUAGAUUGAUUAUUUUCAAAAUGUUCUUACAGGGGUGGGGGGGUUCCCGUUUUAGGACACAAGAAUAUCAUCAAGCCCCCUCUCGAGAAAAAAUAGCCACCUGUUUUAAAUUGUGACACCGCUGCUGGACACAGAUCCCACGAGCUUUUAAAUAGCCUAAUUGUUUGUGCGUAAUUGUGCGUAAAAGCUACAGUCUGUAGGCCUAUGAGGAAACCAUAUAGAUAGGAUUGAUGUUGUUUCAUGGACUAAACUUUUACGUGGGUAAUGAGAAAUGCAUCUAUACAUGAUAAAAAGCUUUUUUAUUAUUUCAGUGGCGUGCAGGCCAAACUAUAUAUAACUAUACACAUGAAUAUUUAAGGCAGGCCAAGUUGAUGGCCCACAUUAUCCUUUCAUAUAAAUAUGAUUCCUUAUACAUUCGUUUUUGUACUGUUUGUCAAAAAAUCUGAUUAUAUAAAGGCCUCAUAUGACAAACCACCUGUUAGUGAUAUCAACGAAGCGUCCUCAUUUAUUAACGGAUAUAAGAGGUUUUACUUAAAUUUUGCUAUUAACAAAUUUCAUUUUCCCCUUGUAAUUGCUUAUGAGAUGUGACUGUGUUUAUAGCUAAUUUUAAGCAGCACAUUUUUAAUCGAUUUUUCAUUUAAAUUAAUUUAUAGUCAUUUCAUUUAUCAGUAAGUCGAUUUAUAUUUUGCUAAGGAAUUGAAGUUGUGUCAGACUUCCAUUUCCUGAUUAGAUCACAUCAAGUUUUAAAUAACGUCAUUCUCUUCAGCAAAAAAAUUAACAACUUAUCAAAAGGCUAUAAACUCAUUUGCUGUUGACUUUUUAAAACGACUAUGACUAUGAGCUUAUACAGUAAAUCGUGAAAAUAGGUUCAUAUCUUUUUGAUGCACUGAGAGAAAUUUUGUGAAUUUCAGUGUGAAGUUUUGAGGUAAUUUCACUGCUUCUGUUUUAAACACUUGACAUAAUUCUUAAAUCCCAGAUGGAAAAAGUAAAGAACAGUAAUAGAUAAAGAACAGUUUAGCGAUUAAAGGAUUCAUUAUUUUUUUUAAUUAAUGAAAGACUUGAUUUUCACCUGAACUGGUUGGUUUUACAUCCACUGCCCUCGGUACAUGGAGUUUUUUUUUUAAAACAUCCACUUUAUCUGUCUUUUGGCAUUUAAUUGUUUGUACUUGAGAGAGACAAAAUACGUGAUCUGAAAGAUAAUAUAGUAUUAUUAAUAUAUUGAUAGCUACGUGGUGAUCAACAAUACAAUAACAGACCUCAGAGAAAAAUACGUGCAUCCUCAAAAUCGCAAACAAUCUUAAUUUCUGUAGCUGUAUUUUGGUUAUCUUGCUAAUCAAAUGAACAAUGUUCAGUAGAUGAUAAAGUUGAACAAAUAUUUGUAAUAAAUGUUUUAUAUUUUUCCCGGGGUUUUAUCCUAACUGCAUGGUCCCAUCAUCUUUUAGUUUAGCUGUGAGGCGGUGAGAGUCAUUUCUGUUAUUUUGCUCUUGACACUUGAUAGAGUCAGUGAAGUAAAGGGAACUGAAACUGCAUGAGGCACAAACGAGGAUUUGAUUAAUAAAUCCAUGUUUGAUAUCACCACUACAAGAAACUUUGGGGAAUAAACCGUCUGUCAUUGUGAAGGAAAGGGGGAAAAAAUCUUAAUGCCACUUCGUCAAAAUGUAAAACUCAAUUGCACUCAAAGCAGAGCAUGAAAUAAUUCAAGAUUUAAUGCACUUAACCCGCUACAGUAUCAACGUGCACAACCUAAACCAUGCAGCCUAACUGUUGCACAGACUGGACUUAAACUUCCCAAAUGGCCACACACACUCGUCACAAGUAGCUUAUGGAUUUAUUGAUGACUCAUCACAGUUUCAAAGCUGCAGAUGUUUGAUUGUAGAUGACUGUGAGUUUUGGUACCUUUUAACAAAAACACCUUCAUUGUGGAUCAGACAUGUUUUAAGAAAAGAGAUAAUGUCAUUCAGAUUAUUAAUCCUCUUAAAAUAAUGAAAAAUCAGUCUGAAAAUGACGUCAUUUUUGACAGGCCACAGCUGGUUUUGACAUGUACAUUUAUUUAUUUUUUUGCCUGUAGGCCUCAUAUGUAGAUACAGGCUAAUAUCCAUACACAUGCAAAUGAGGGAAAUUUAUGCCUACUUAGGCAUUUUAAAAAAUCAAUUAAUCUCAAAUACAUAGUUAAAGGGCCUAUUUCACACUGAUGAAGACUUGCAUGGUAUGUCAAUUAAACCUGUUAGGCCUCGUAGCAAAGCGUGUAACGUCUGGCUGCGUAUUAAUGUAUUGAAAGAAAACAGAGGAAUAAUGUCUGGAAAUUUGUUUAAAUUCCAAAACCCAAAAGAAACUGCAUCUAUGGAGACAUCUCUCCGCACUACGGUGCGCAGCGUGUGGCACGGGAUGGCCUCCUCCAUGUGUUUUGCAUCUGUUUCCAUCUUAUCUGUUGAUGUGAAGAGAUGCGGAUUAACACUGAAAGCCCGGAGAGGCGGAGCGCGUCACGGCGCAUCGCCAGGCUAAAAGAGGAGCGUUCUGGCAAAUUUAACCCGAAUAAAUUACACCUUGAGGUGGAAGAGGGAUUUCUCCGUUGUUGGAAUAGCAUCUGCACUGGAACUUUUUGACAAGAGCAAAGUGUCCAUCAUGGCUAUCACCAGUGGACAUGGAUCACUGUGGGGGCCUGUGAUUAACAGAUAGCACCUCGUCUCCUCUGCUGGCAGGCUAUCAUUACGACGAGCACUAGAAGAUAGGUGCUGUGGGCGAAAAGACCUUUUGGAAAAUGUCAGCGACAGUCAGAGUCCCAAAUUUCCUCCAUUCACUCUUUUCUGUGUGAUGCUACCUACUCUAAAGCCCUUAAUUACACAACCCCUUUCUCCUAUUGCCUAAUGUUUAGUAUCAAAGUACAGUGUCUGAUUUCAGAGCAUGUGGAGAUUUUAUUUUAUCUUAUGUGGCUUACCUGAAGAAAACAACAAACAAUAAAAAAAACCUGUUUCACCAAUCUCAGCAAAAAUGAACACUAACAAACAAAAACAAAAAAACAGCAGUAUCUGCAACAGCUCCUUUUUCCCAUUCCCUUUCACUGCAGCCAGCUUCACUGUCUUAAUACUCUUAGUCCCUCGGCUGGCAUGUUUUCCAAGAACCCGCUGCAUUUUCAGAUUUGUGAAAUCCGUCAAAAUGCCUGUAAUGAAUAUUUCUACAGCCUUGAGUGUAUUUAAUGUGCAGUUUGAUCAGCCCAAUAAGAAACAUGUACUGAUCUGGCACUAGAGCAUCAGUAGAAGUUUAUUGUCUGUCCCUGUUCAGACAGAGGCCUCAGUCAGUGUGGAAACAGUGUGAAACAGGUAGUUUUUCAUUUGAACACAAACUUGUCUUUUAUCAAGAGAAGAAGAAAGGAAAUAAACAUGUAUUAUUCACAAAUGCUUUUAAUUUUUAAUUAACAUAUUUCCUGUGCAUGAAUCUACAUGUCAUGUAUAUUUGUAUUUAAAAUUUUCAAAAAAAGGAACUACUAUUAGUACAGUUGUCUUCAAGGAUUAACUGUCAUCUUGUAAGGCAAGUCUUUGUUAUGUACUCAACACUUACAUUGUACAGUCUGUUUUGCUGUUGUCUUAGCUUUUGCUUAAAAAAAAGAGAAAACAUAUUAAAUAAAGGCUUGCAUCUUAUUGCUGCCUAAGAAUGAAA